CAUACAGAAGGAAAGGCAAGUGUGUUGACUGGUUUAUUGGUUUUAAGACCUAUUUUGUCUUGAAUGGUUUAGUGCUAACUAAGUGUUUUGUGGUCAGUACUUACAGUCAUUACUUCACAAGAGACUAAAACUGUGAGGUCUGGGCCUGUCCCAGGUCUGCAGAGGUGAUCAUGGUUGUUACACUAGGGAGGCAACCUGAGAACUGGUCUGUGUGUAGACAAAACAGAGCUAGGGAUGUGGAGGAGCAGUUAAGUGGUCACUUGUGACAGCAAAAUUCAAACACAGUCACAAGUUUUGUUUUUUCUUCUUUGAAAAGGAUUUUGUGUAUUAAUAAGUAGCUUUUAGAAUAAUAGAUGGGCUUUCACAGACAGGCUUAACCUUGCUGUUUCAAUGUUGGUUUGUUGCUUUGUUUGUUGGGGGUUUUUUUAACAUGGCAUAGUCAAAAACAUGGUAUCAAAGGUAAGAAAAAAAUUAUGACAUAGCUACCAGUUAUGUAAAUAUCUCAGUUAUGGCUGGUCAGCUCCUGUCACCCAACUGAAAGAUAAUACAGCAAAAGUGUUUUUUUAUUUUGUUGUCCUAUUAUUCACCAUUUACUUUACUGUUGUUUUCACCACCUACCAUAUAUAAUCGAUUGGCUGUCCCCUGCUGUUGCCGUGGAUAUUUAAUACAUUGACAUGGAAAAGAGACACAGUUUUUUGAAAAGGGAACUGUAACUACAAAAUUCCUCUAGCACGGAAUGGAUGUCUGUGCCGUAUUUUAUAUGAGUACAACCAAUAAUGGCUUUCUGCUUCAUGUUCUUUUCUACCAUCUACACGUAUAGAUGUCCAUGCUACAUCUCCUGUUUUAUGAGGCUGGUGCCUAAGAGAGCAUUAGGUCUGACAGAGCUCCUUGUGUCCAUUCUCCCUCCCUGGAGCAGGCAAGAAGGGCCGGGUUUGUAGGUCAGUUGGCUUGAAAUUCAGAAGCACUUAAUGGAAGAGUGGUGAAUGCUACUGAUUAGAAUGGUCCAGCAUAAACAGGAAUCCAAGAACCUCCCUUCAGACUCUUAGGUCUGAGCUUUUUUGGAGAUCAAAGGAGAACGCAGUAUUUUGAACAAAAUGUGCAAGGGCCCACCCUUCCUGAACUGCACUUUUGGAAGUAUGUUCUGUCCUGCAGCCGUAAUACUCUGCAGAAGGGUUUGGGUGUCGUGUCGUCGUCCCCCGCACCUUUUUAAUAUAUUUCAUAAGAGAAAUUUAAUAGCUAUUUUCAUAGGAGUCUCUGAUCCUACACUCUUCUCAUUGUGCCUGGGUGUUCUGUGAGGAAAGCUGCUGAUCAUUACUGAUUUAAGUCUCGCACCUUUAAUUCAUCAGAAUUUCAUGUAAUGUAUUACUUACAUUAGAUGUAGGUGCCAAAACUGACCUGUAAACCUAAAAUUAAAUUGGGACUACACAAUUAAUUUCACUUAGAUUGUGGAAAUUAGACUAUAAAUGGAAUUCCUGCGGGAACUGAGUAAACCUUCUUUGACAUUGAUUUAAUGUAAUUCUUUUCUUAAUAGGGUAACUUUAAAUUGUGUAACCAGUACAUACUUUUAACCAGCACAGAUUUGUAGCAAAUCCUGCAGGAAGAUUUGCUUAACAGGAACAUUCUGUGUGUUUCUGAAUUUAAGGAUCACAGGGUAUGGCUUUAUUGCAGCUGACUAGAUAGCCAGGUGUCAUACCCCUUCCUGAAACUUGAUCAGAUAGGUAAUGCUACAAAGCUAACAUGUCAUUUGUCAAACAUCUCAUUAUUUUAUAAAAUGCACAUGCGCAGGAUAACAUAAAGUUAGGGUCAAGAUUUAUUUUGUGGUCAAAACUGAAUUCAGAAUGUGAAUUUCAAGGUUAGUACCUGAAUCAGAAUUUCAUGUCCAAAUCACAAUAAUUAAUGCCUAAUUUGGGAGAAUUUUGAAUUAAAGACUUAAUUUUUCCAAUUGGACUCAGGAAUUCAAAGUCUGACUAGCUCUGGAACAAAAAUUUGCAUUUUCAAUAGAUGACAAAUGAGUGUGCUUGUUUUAUGCAUGAAAUGAAUUUGAGGACUGAAAUUAUUCUGAAUCAUCCAAAUGCUUAUGCUCUAGAUGACACCGUAUUUUGCUUCUUAUGCUGUUAGUAACAGUAUUCAAAAGCAUAUUUUCUUUCCUUUCUUGAGAUUUAGAAAUAUUCUUGUUUUUAAAGAUAACCUGUUCAGGUCUGAUUCUUCAAGUUUUUCUCUGAAUGUGAUGGCACUCAGAGGUCUGAGUUAACACAUGCACUGGCUUUGCAUGAGAACUCAUGCAUUAGAUUGUCUCUGCAGGGGAACAUUUAGGGUACUUAAGAUAAUUUGACCUAUGAAAACAUUAAUUUUGAAUGUUUUACUGAAAGUAGCUCAGAAUACCCUGACAUUCUGUAAAAUGUAUGACAAUGCUUUUAAACAGGGUAAGAAUACUCUGAAUGCUGGGUCAUCUCAAAACUUGCUUAAAGUUUUCUGGGAUCUGCUACUCAACAAGUCUUCUGUAUUGUUUAACACAGUAUUGCCCUGGUCCUUUACUAAGCUGGUAGGUGCAAAAGCAGUUCUAAUGUCUAUCAGGCUGUAUAAAAAGCACAGCUGUACACCAGACCUCCAUCAUUUUAGGUAUUAGAAGUAAUCACGAAAAGGCUGCCUUUCGCAACCAAUCAUUCAUCUGAGGCACUAUUAAACAUCCUCUGGUAUUAGCAGAGUUCUUAAAAUUAAUUAAGUUCCAGACACGGCAUGUGUUGAUAGCAGGUAGUCUUGCAUGUUCUUUCUCCCUUCUGCAUGCUUACAGCUGAUCUUCUGAUCCUGUUAGUUUAAUCUCUUAAUUGUCUGUAUGUCCUUCCAAGAAGGCGCUGCCCUUUCCUUGAUGAAGUCAAGUUCUUUGUUCUUUCCAAGGUUUCAUUCCAAGGAAUGUGAAGGGACAAGCUUUAAGACACUACUGUACUGUAUUUGCAAAGAAGAGUAAAAAGCGCUGAAUGGAAAUCCACUUUAAAAUAGAAAACUGCACACAAAACCCCACCACCCGCAGACUUGCGAGAGCUUUUGGCAGUUAAAAAUAUAUACACAUUCUUCUCCUAAUUCAUAAGAAAUAAUAGUAUGGGAACUAUAUUUUGCACAAAUACAGUUCCAAAAAAUCAGGGUGGUUUUCUUU
Athene cunicularia (burrowing owl) is the source of this 3151-nucleotide long non-coding RNA. RefSeq lists it as uncharacterized. The transcript is spliced from 2 exons. The record is from RefSeq and is a predicted model, not a curated record. NCBI's taxonomy places the organism in Eukaryota, Metazoa, Chordata, Aves, Strigiformes, Strigidae.